AGCAUAUCAAUAAGCGGAGGAAAAGAAACCAACAGGGAUUGCCUUAGUAACGGCGAGUGAAGCGGCAAUAGCUCAAAUUUGAAAGCUGGCCCCUUCGGGGUCCGCGUUGUAAUUUGUAGAGGAUGAUUCGGCGAGGGCUCCCGUCUAAGUCCCUUGGAACAGGGCGUCAUAGAGGGUGAGAAUCCCGUAUGUGAUGGGCUGCCUUAGCCAUGUGAAUCUCCUUCGACGAGUCGAGUUGUUUGGGAAUGCAGCUCUAAAUGGGAGGUAAAUUUCUUCUAAAGCUAAAUACCGGCCAGAGACCGAUAGCGCACAAGUAGAGUGAUCGAAAGAUGAAAAGCACUUUGGAAAGAGAGUUAAAAAGUACGUGAAAUUGUUGAAAGGGAAGCGCUUGCAGCCAGACUUGUCCGCAGUUGCUCAGCUUGUCUCCUGACAGGCGUACUCUUCUGCGGCCAGGCCAGCAUCAGUUCGGGCGGUCGGAUAAAGACCUAGGGAAUGUAGCUCCUCUCGGGGAGUGUUAUAGCCCUGGGUGCAAUGCGGCCAGCCUGGACUGAGGAUCUCGCUUCGGCUAGGAUGCUGGCGUAAUGGCUGUAAGCGGCCCGUCUUGAAACACGGACCAAGGAGUCUAACAUCUAUGCGAGUGUUUGGGUGUCAAACCCAUGCGCGUAAUGAAAGUGAACGGAGGUGGGAACCCUCACGGGUGCACCAUCGACCGAUCCUGAUGUCUUCGGAUGGAUUUGAGUAAGAGCAUAGCUGUUGGGACCCGAAAGAUGGUGAACUAUGCCUGAAUAGGGUGAAGCCAGAGGAAACUCUGGUGGAGGCUCGCAGCGGUUCUGACGUGCAAAUCGAUCGUCAAAUUUGGGUAUAGGGGCGAAAGACUAAUCGAACCAUCUAGUAGCUGGUUCCUGCCGAAG
Molecule: ribosomal RNA, 911 nt
Filed under: Neofusicoccum batangarum
Lineage: Eukaryota; Fungi; Ascomycota; Dothideomycetes; Botryosphaeriales; Botryosphaeriaceae
Description: LSU rRNA
Rfam family: Eukaryotic large subunit ribosomal RNA
Source: RNAcentral